GAGUCCCACAAGACUCAUCAUCAGUCAUAGCACAGCCAAGCAGCCAUCCAAAUCUUUUUGGAACAAGUCGGCCAUAUCUUUUUGGAUCAAGAAGGCUUUGUGGUAAUGUUGUUGAAUGAGUUGGAUAAGAUGGAGCAAAAAACUUUUUGAAGGAGCUUGCUAUUGUUUGCACUAAUGAGGAUUUGUUUGUUUUGGCAGCGACACAAACACCAGGAGAAGCUGGAAAGAAGUGGUUUCAAGGAACUGCAGAUGAUGUGAGGCAAUUUACUUGGAUAUUUGAGGAUGCCAAGAAUAUAAACGUUGAUAAUGUAUUGACCUUGGCAAGGGAUCAUUUAUACCGAAUGGAUUAUAUGGUCCUUGUGCAGAAGAAAAAAUAUUCAUGCUGCUGAAAUUACCAGUAAAUCCUCAUGAUGCAACAAUAUUGUCUUCCUUUUCUUUUGAUUAAUAUUCAUCCCAAAGAAUAUUGUCUUCUAUUGUUUUUUCCUUUUCGUUUGGUAUCAUUUUUGGAUAUGUUUUAGUUUUGGGUUGACAGAGUCACGAGUGCCCUUCUACUUGAUUGCAUGUGUCUGCCUUUGUCAACUUUGAUGCGUUUUUUGGGUCUC
Molecule: non-coding RNA, 602 nt
Organism: Cicer arietinum (chickpea)
Lineage: Eukaryota; Viridiplantae; Streptophyta; Magnoliopsida; Fabales; Fabaceae
Source: RefSeq, a predicted model, not a curated record